This is a long non-coding RNA of Drosophila innubila, 345 nucleotides long. RefSeq lists it as uncharacterized. The transcript has 2 exons. Lineage: Eukaryota; Metazoa; Arthropoda; Insecta; Diptera; Drosophilidae. The record is from RefSeq and is a predicted model, not a curated record.
AACAACAACGAGAAGAGCAUAAAGGAAAUUUAUUAAUUUGAUUCCACGUGCAAUUGAAGCGCCAUAAUUAAACAUAUAGCGGAUUAGUAGUCGGGCAAGAGAAAGAACAUAAUAUCUUCAACUAAAAUCAAUUACAACAUUUGAAUGGAAGCAACAUUGAUGCUCAAUUACAAUAACAAAAUCGCACGCCCACAAAAAAGCUGCAACAACAACAAACACAAUAACAACAACAACUGUUAUAAUAAUAACAACAACUAUAUUAAGCAACAAACGCGAAAUUGGCAGUGCCAUCAAUAUUUCAGGUAAGAAUAAUACCAAGAAAGUGGUAGAAAGGGAUGUGGAAAG